Podarcis muralis (Common wall lizard) is the source of this 1226-nucleotide non-coding RNA. The record is from RefSeq and is a predicted model, not a curated record. Lineage: Eukaryota; Metazoa; Chordata; Lepidosauria; Squamata; Lacertidae.
GAGCCUUAGCUCACCCCUCCCAGAGCUUCAGUUUUCAGCAGCCAUAGCAAACUACAGUGUCUAGGGUUCCUUGAGGGAGGCUGUGUGUUUUGAAUGCCAUGGUGUGGGUAUGAUCUGUGGGGAAGGGCAAUAGAUCAGUGGUAAAGUGGAUGUUUCACAAGCAAAAAGUCUGAAGUUCAGCUCCUAGUACAGUGGUUAUCCUGACAACAAGUAGUGACUGGUCCCAGAGCUUCAUGGCUGUGUGGAUGAUUUGAACCCUAGUCUCCUAGGGUGGAGUCUCUUGGACACCAUCAGCACCGGCUAGAACAACCAAUGAGUUGGGUCUCUCUUGGUUGUUGGCACAUCAUCUCUGCACCCGGUGAAAUCUAACCAGUUAUUUAGUGGCAAGCGAAAACUAAUGGGAAAGGAUAAAACCACUGAUCUUUAGACAGAUCAGAUUAGGACUGUGAACGCACAGGCCAUGGAAUAUCUCCUGAGCUAACCAGCAGCAAGAAGUGGCUAUCAGGGAGUGAUCCGGUGCUUCAGAGAACCUGCAGGAGUUCUGAGACAAAGAGGGUGCUGCUUCAGUGCUGUCCAGAACCCUACCGAGUGCUAUUCAAGAAGACAAGAGUGUGAGGGUUAAGAACCAGGUCAAAAGAGUGUUGUCAAAGAAGACAGAUGACUCAACUACAUUAGCCAUGUUACAAUGAUCCUGCCAGAGCAGACAGAGGCAAGAUAUUGCUCACCAGCCUGCACCAAAAGAAAGUAUCUUACAAGUUCCAACAAGUUAAGUCAUACUUGCAUGGAUACAUGAGACAAAGUGAUUGUUUUGUUCAUAUGUGUUGUGGAAGUUCACCAAAUAGUGAUAAAGUCCUGAGGAUCCACCCCACCUUGUAAAGCUUUCAGAUGAUGAGAGAAGCACGCCACACCCUCUGCCACCACAGGGAGCCUCUGCUGCUGCAAGGGAAGUGUGGCACAAUCUCCACUGCUGCAGGAAGGUAUGGCAGGCCCCUCUGCCACCACAGGGAGGCCCCACAAGGCCCUCCGUCACUGCAGAUAUAUAUUGUGAUAUAACGAGAUACCAUGAUAUUUAGCUGGUGAUAUAUCGUGAUGAUGAAAACCAGAUAUCAUGCAGCCCUAGUAGGGAGUAAACUCCACUGACUGUAGUGGAACUUACUGCUUAGUAAACAUGUCUAGGAUUCCCUCAUGAUGCCCUACAGACUGCUUUGCCUGGCGACAGGCUCAGA